GACUGCAUAGCUCAGUUGGAAGAGCAUUGGGCUAGUAUUCCAAAGGUCGUAGGUUCGAAUCCCGCCGUGGCCA
Molecule: non-coding RNA, 73 nt
Organism: Paramuricea clavata
Lineage: Eukaryota; Metazoa; Cnidaria; Anthozoa; Malacalcyonacea; Plexauridae
Source: the annotation of a GenBank genome assembly